GAUCAUGGCUCAGGAUGAACGCUGGCGGCGUGCCUAAUACAUGCAAGUCGAGCGAACAGACGGGGAGCUUGCUCCUCUGACGUUAGCGGCGGACGGGUGAGUAACACGUGGAUAACCUACCUAUAAGACUGGGAUAACUUCGGGAAACCGGAGCUAAUACCGGAUAAUAUAUUGAACCGCAUGGUUCAAUAGUGAAAGACGGUUUUGCUGUCACUUAUAGAUGGAUCCGCGCCGCAUUAG
Molecule: ribosomal RNA, 240 nt
Filed under: uncultured bacterium
Lineage: Bacteria
Description: partial 16S ribosomal RNA
Rfam family: Bacterial small subunit ribosomal RNA
Source: RNAcentral